GCCCAGGUAGUAUAGCUCGGUUUCUACAAAAAGCCGAUGAGUAUGUGAGACUGUCACUCUCGCGACCCGGGUUCAAAUCCCGGCCUGGGCG
This 91-nucleotide transfer RNA is filed under the name Nitrososphaerota archaeon. Its description in RNAcentral is "tRNA-Asp". It matches the Rfam family "tRNA". Rfam says of the family: Transfer RNA (tRNA) molecules are approximately 80 nucleotides in length. The record is from RNAcentral. Lineage: Archaea; Thermoproteati; Nitrososphaerota.